RNAcentral lists this ribosomal RNA (460 nucleotides) under uncultured bacterium. RNAcentral's name for it is "partial 16S ribosomal RNA". It matches the Rfam family "Bacterial small subunit ribosomal RNA", at positions 338 to 795 of the family's 1533-position model. The record is from RNAcentral.
CCUACGGGAGACAGCAGUGAGGAAUAUUGGUCAAUGGGCGGAAGCCUGAACCAGCCAAGUCGCGUGAGGGAUUAAGGCCCUAUGGGUCGUAAACCUCUUUUGUCAGGGAGCAAUGGCGUCCACGUGUGGGCGUAUGGAGAGUACCUGAAGAAAAAGCAUCGGCUAACUCCGUGCCAGCAGCCGCGGUAAUACGGAGGAUGCGAGCGUUAUCCGGAUUUAUUGGGUUUAAAGGGUGCGCAGGCGGAGGUGCAAGUCAGCGGUCAAAUUGCGGGGCUCAACCCCGUACUGCCGUUGAAACUGCAUCCCUUGAGUGCGCGAGAAGUAUGCGGAAUGCGUGGUGUAGCGGUGAAAUGCAUAGAGAUCAUACAGAACACCGAUUGCGAAGGCAGCUUACCAAACUACGACUGACGUUGAGGCACGAAAGCGUGGGGAGCAAACAGGAUUAGAUACCCCUGUAGUC